AUUGAACGCUGGCGGAAUGCUUUACACAUGCAAGUCGAACGGCAGCACGGGUGCUUGCACCUGGUGGCGAGUGGCGAACGGGUGAGUAAUGCACCGGAACGUAUCCAAUAAUGGGGGGAUAACGCACCGAAAGGUGUGCUAAUACCGCAUACGCCCUGAGGGGGAAAGCGGGGGAUCGUAAGACCUCGCGUUAAUGGAGCGGCCGAUGCCGGAUUAGCUAGUUGGUGAGGUAAAGGCUCACCAAGGCGACGAUCCGUAGCUGGUCUGAGAGGACGACCAGCCACACUGGAACUGAGACACGGCCCAGACUCCUACGGGAGGCAGCAGUGGGGAAUUUUGGACAAUGGGCGCAAGCCUGAUCCAGCCAUGCCGCGUGAGUGAAGAAGGCCUCGGUGUAAGACUCUUUCUAGACGGAAAGGAAAUACGCGCGCUCUAACAUAGCGUGUGGAGUGACGGUACCGUAAGAAGAAGACACCGGCUAACUACGUAGCCAGCAGCCGCGGUAA
Molecule: ribosomal RNA, 506 nt
Filed under: uncultured bacterium
Lineage: Bacteria
Description: bacterial SSU rRNA
Rfam family: Bacterial small subunit ribosomal RNA
Source: RNAcentral